AUCAAGACUUCGGUGACGUGAUCGUGAGAGGAUGGUGGCCCAAUGUCCACUCUGGCCGUUCGACUUGAGCUUACGACAUGCCGAGAGUGACAAUGGAGGGAACAAAACUGACUCGCCAUCCCGGCCCAGCGAAAGUGUUUGUCCAGCGAAGCUGUUGGAAAUCAAUGCUACAACUGCUGAUAAGCGCCCAUCGGAAUGCGGCUGCCGUGGUGGGAGUCGAACCGAAGACCACGAGCUCAGCAGAGCGACGCCUUGCCACCAGGCUACCGAUGUGGGGAGG
This is a long non-coding RNA of Dermacentor albipictus, 280 nucleotides long. RefSeq lists it as uncharacterized. The record is from RefSeq and is a predicted model, not a curated record. NCBI's taxonomy places the organism in Eukaryota, Metazoa, Arthropoda, Arachnida, Ixodida, Ixodidae.